GGGGUGGGGCUCAGUGGCAGAGCACUUGCCUAGCAUGUGUGAGGCACUGGGUUCAAUCCUCAGCACCACG
RNAcentral lists this transfer RNA (70 nucleotides) under Marmota monax (woodchuck). RNAcentral describes it as "tRNA.Ala". Lineage: Eukaryota; Metazoa; Chordata; Mammalia; Rodentia; Sciuridae. The record is from RNAcentral.